UACGGGAGGCAGCAGUGGGGAAUAUUGCACAAUGGGCGAAAGCCUGAUGCAGCUAUGCCGCGUGUAUGAAGAAGGCCUUAGGGUUGUAAAGUACUUUCAUCGGGGAGGAAAAAACAAAACUAAUAAUUUUAUUUCUUGACGUUACCCGAAAAAGAGGCACCGGCUAACUCCGUGCCAGCAGCCGCGGUAAUACGGAGGGUGCUAGCGUUAAUCAGAAUUACUGGGCGUAAAGAGCACGUAGGUGGUUUUUUUAAGUCAGAUGUGAAAUCCCUGGGCUUAACCUAGGAACUGCAUUUUGAAACUGAAAUACUAGAGUAUCGUAGAGGGAGGUAGAAUUCUAGGUGUAGCGGUGAAAUGCGUAGAUAUCUGGAGGAAUACCUGUGGCGAAAGCGGCCUCCUAAACGAAUACUGACACUGAGGUGCGAAAGCGUGGGGAGCGAAACAGGGAUUAGGAUACCCGU
Molecule: ribosomal RNA, 461 nt
Filed under: uncultured bacterium
Lineage: Bacteria
Description: bacterial SSU rRNA
Rfam family: Bacterial small subunit ribosomal RNA
Source: RNAcentral